CUCAUUCAAACGCAAGAGGUCAAAGUCGUGCGCCUGGCCCCAGUCCUCUCUCCGAAGGCCGACUCCAACAUUGAUUUCGGUGGUAUGAGACCAUAAAUAAUAAAACCAACAAACCAACACAGAAGAAAGGAGACAAGCCUACCUUAGGUGGUGUCUGUGACAGUGAAGUUGGCGGCAGUUGGAAAAGAGGUACACUCGGUCACCAAGACUGUAUUGACCACCAGGGCACCAGAUAACGGUCUUACCCAGCCAGACCAACUCAGCAGCAGCGGCAGCUUUUCGUCCCACUGCACCUCCUCCAUCAGUGCUGCUGGAUA
This is a long non-coding RNA of Scatophagus argus, 317 nucleotides long. RefSeq lists it as uncharacterized. NCBI's taxonomy places the organism in Eukaryota, Metazoa, Chordata, Actinopteri, Scatophagidae. The record is from RefSeq and is a predicted model, not a curated record. The transcript has 3 exons.